This 492-nucleotide ribosomal RNA is filed under the name uncultured Tatumella sp. Its description in RNAcentral is "bacterial SSU rRNA". It matches the Rfam family "Bacterial small subunit ribosomal RNA", at positions 75 to 561 of the family's 1533-position model. The record is from RNAcentral. Lineage: Bacteria; Pseudomonadati; Pseudomonadota; Gammaproteobacteria; Enterobacterales; Erwiniaceae.
GUAGCUUGCUACUUUGCCGGCGAGCGGCGGACGGGUGAGUAAUGUCUGGGAAACUGCCCGAUGGAGGGGGAUAACUACUGGAAACGGUGCUAAUACCGCAUAACGUCUUCGGACCAAAGUGGGGGACCUUCGGGCCUCACACCAUCGGAUGUGCCCAGAUGGGAUUAGCUAGUAGGUGGGGUAACGGCUCACCUAGGCGACGAUCCCUAGCUGGUCUGAGAGGAUGACCAGCCACACUGGAACUGAGACACGGUCCAGACUCCUACGGGAGGCAGCAGUGGGGAAUAUUGCACAAUGGGCGCAAGCCUGAUGCAGCCAUGCCGCGUGUGUGAAGAAGGCCUUCGGGUUGUAAAGCACUUUCAGCGAGGAGGAAGGCAGUCGUGUUAAUAGCACGGUUGAUUGACGUUACUCGCAGAAGAAGCACCGGCUAACUCCGUGCCAGCAGCCGCGGUAAUACGGAGGGUGCAAGCGUUAAUCGGAAUUACUGGGCGU